This 407-nucleotide ribosomal RNA is filed under the name uncultured bacterium. RNAcentral's name for it is "partial 16S ribosomal RNA". It matches the Rfam family "Bacterial small subunit ribosomal RNA", at positions 30 to 526 of the family's 1533-position model. The record is from RNAcentral.
AUUGAACGCUGGCGGCAGGCCUAACACAUGCAAGUCGAGCGGAGCGGCGGACGGGUGAGUAAUGCCUAGUAAUCUGCCUGUUAGUGGGGUAUAACGUCCGGGAAAGGGCCCUAAUACAGCAUACUAUCAGAUGAGCCUAGGGCGGAUUAGCUAGUUGGUGGGGUAAAGGCCUACCAAGGCGACGAUCCGUAACUGGUCUGAGAGGAUGAUCAGUCACACUGGAACUGAGACACGGUCCAGACUCCUACGGGAGGCAGCAGUGGGGAAUAUUGGACAAUGGGCGAAAGCCUGAUCCAGCCAUGCCGCGUGUGUGAAGAAGGUCUUCGGAUUGUAAAGCACUUUUGGUAGGGAGGCGGUACCAACAGAAUAAGCACCGGCUAACUACGUGCCAGCAGCCGCGGUAAUAC